This 2130-nucleotide long non-coding RNA is filed under the name Homo sapiens (human). RNAcentral's name for it is "non-protein coding lnc-CLEC2D-8:13". Lineage: Eukaryota; Metazoa; Chordata; Mammalia; Primates; Hominidae. The record is from RNAcentral.
CGCUUCUCUGGAGGGUGUGGCGGAAACUUGAGGCUUGGAGUCCGCGGGACCGGAAGGGGCUCCGUAGCUCGGGGCAGGGUGGGCGCGAGAGAGCCUAGAAGCCCAUGUAGCCGCGAAUCCCGCAGCCCCAGUACACCUCCCUCCGUGCCUCCCCGCCUUUUCUGCAGAGCUCCGCCCUGGAGUGAAGGAGGAGCCGUCACCUGGAGCUCCGAAAAAAGCAGAAGAAGGCGCUUUUUAUUUAGCCAGUGUGACCCCGCCAGGGCCUUCUCGGUUGGAUAAAACUCUGCAAAGACAAUGUCUAGCACUUAUAUCUCCAGUAACUCCUGUCAAGGUUUAUUGUUGCUUGUUCAUCAUUGCAGUCCUGACUACAAGUGUGAUUGCACUUUCUAUUGUUUUGUCAGAAUUUCCUGAAAAGAUACAAAGGCCCUUCUGACCAUUGGAUUGGCCUUAGAAGAGAAUCAUCCCAUCGCAUUUGGAAAUGGACAGACAACAUGGAAUAUAAUAACAUUUUUCACACAUUUACAAAACAAUUUGGGAGGAGGCUGGAAAUCAUCUUGACUGAAGACCACCAAUGGCAGCAGUUCAUUUGGGUACAGCAGCAAGCAUCAGUUAAAUACCUAUCAACAUAGCUGGGCUUGGCUUGCUAUCAGAGGAAGUGGAGAAUGUGCCUUCCUGAAUGACAAUGGAGUCAACAGUGGCAGAAUCUACAUGAACAGAAAAUGGAUUUGUAGCAAGCCAAACAAUUAUGUCUACAGUUGCCAGUUAUGUCCCCACUGGGAUACUACCUAGUAGAGCUGUGAGAAGAGGGCCACCAUCCUCCAGACUCCAGAAUGGUGGAAUCAGCAGCAGCUUCCACCAUGCCCCUGGAAAAACUGCAAGUAACAGACCUGCACAUGUAUCCCCUACAUCUAAAAUAAAAGUUGGAAAAAAUGGAACUUUGAUGUUAAGAUGCACUGAUACAAAACUUAAAUUUUGGUCUCCUACAUUAAAACAAUAUGAGUCUCUUAAAAUAUUGAUUUGUUCUUAGUAAGAUUACAAGAGGCUUUGAUUUUUAAUUCUGCAAUGUUUCCUUAACAGCCAUUCUGAAUUACAAACUAAUUCCUAUUUCUGCCACAUUCCUUCCUGAGAACUGUCUAGUCCUGGUUUGGGAUUUAUCUUAAAGGUCUAGAAAGGCAACAUUUUACUUCAGCAAAACUUGAUUCUAUAUUGUUGUUUUUUCUUAAUGUGUCAAAAUUGUUUUGUUACUAGGAUUUCCUAUGUUGUUAUUAAAUGUAUUCCCCUGAUCAAGGUCACUGGCCUAGAAAACAAAGAUUCUGUGUUUUACCAAGAUAAUUCCCAGUGCUUCAUGGUGUCUUUAUUAGGCUUUGACUGCUUAGGGAAACUGAGCCUUAAAAGGGUAAAAGUUUUUCCAUCCAUGUAACUUUCUGAGGUCUUUAGGUUGUCACUCUGAUUAAAUGAGUAGUAUUCUUAGCAGUGACUUAUUAUCUGUUGAAGGAAGUAUUUUAAGCUUUUUGACAUCUUUGGCAGGUUUCUCUAGAAUCCAAAUCCUAAAUUAAGCCUUUUGGCCUAAAAAUGACUGGGAUUUUUCCAGGUGGACCCCCUAGAUAUGCUCCUCCAAAGGCUUGUCUUUCUUGUAGAGUUAUUAAAUGAUUAGGCUUAUUUGGCAAAUACUGCUAGAAGCAUUGUCAAAUAAGAAAUGGUGUUUUACCUUUCUUUAAGCUGUGUUUGUGUAAGUUCAUCAUUUAUAGAAAUGUGAAAUUUUAUGAGAUUCCUAAGAUACUGACAUGCUGAGAUACCUGUAAUAAUUGCAAUUUUUAUGUUGGAUGAUUGUAUGCCACAGAAGCACUUAAAUUUCCUGGUUAAUUGGUAACGUUAAUCAGAUCUUUACCUAUGGCUGUUCUGGGUUUUUGUCAUUCACAGUUAUUAUUUUAAUUUCUUCUUUGGAAGCGUUCGCAAUCAGCUAUAGUCCAAAAUUGCUAAUUAAGAUCAAGCAAAACAAAAUUAAUUACGUAAAAUUAAUUUAUAAGGAUGUUUUUAUGACGUAAAUGUUUUAUUUUCCAGAGCCAAGGAAAUUUUCUGUCACAAGCUAUCUACCGUUUGCAAUAAUUUGAUAAAUAAUCCUUUGUGAAC